GACGAACGCUGGCGGCGUGCUUAACACAUGCAAGUCGAACGGAAAGGCCCUGCUUUUGUGUGGUGCUCGAGUGGCGAACGGGUGAGUAACACGUGAGUAACCUGCCCUUGACUUUGGGAUAACUUCAGGAAACUGGGGCUAAUACCGGAUAGGAGCUCCUGCUGCAUGGUGGGGGUUGGAAAGUUGCGGCGGGUGGGGCUGGACGCGCGGCUUAUCAGCUUGUUGGUGGGGUAGUGGCUUACCAAGGCUGUGACGGGUAGCCGGCCUGAGAGGGUGACCGGCCACAUUGGGACUGAGAGACGGAGCAGAGUCCUACGGGGGGCAGCAGUGGGGAAUAUUGCACAAUGGGCGGAAGCCUGAUGCAGCAACGCCGCGUGCGGGAUGACGGCCUUCGGGUUGUAAACCGCUUUCGCCUGUGACGAAGCGUGAGUGACGGUAAUGGGUAAAGAAGCACCGGCUAACUACGUG
RNAcentral lists this ribosomal RNA (468 nucleotides) under uncultured bacterium. RNAcentral describes it as "partial 16S ribosomal RNA". It matches the Rfam family "Bacterial small subunit ribosomal RNA", at positions 28 to 507 of the family's 1533-position model. The record is from RNAcentral.